Molecule: long non-coding RNA, 530 nt
Organism: Bubalus bubalis (water buffalo)
Lineage: Eukaryota; Metazoa; Chordata; Mammalia; Artiodactyla; Bovidae
Exons: 2
Source: RefSeq, a predicted model, not a curated record
AGCUCAACAGAAUCAGUGCUCUGGGGAGAAGGGGUCAGCAAUCCGUGUUUUUAGCAGAUUCUCCAGGUGGUUCCAACGCUAGAGACUAAGCACUAUUGCUCUAGUGCGCAUGCCCUACCUCUUCACUCUCCUGUGUAACACCCUCCAUGGCUCCCCAUUGCCUGCAGGUAAAGGGAGGCCUCGGUGAACACUGAGAUGAACAGACAGCAAGGAGUUUGGCCACAGGGACCAGAGCUGCCUCUUCUAAACUGAGCCCAGCUGACUUAGAUCAUCGCUGAGGACCGGGCCCUAGGCUUCCCCACCACGCCUGCCUGACUGUGGGCCCUGAACAGCCCCUGCUCCUUGGCCUCAGUUCCCCCAUGUGUGGGGGAGUGGGGCAGAGGCAGCCCCUGAGUUCAGUGACUGCGGGGUCAAGGUGGCGGGGGCUCUUACUCCAGAGCUCCAGUACUGACCACUUGCCCCUGGCCCCAAGAAUGAGGACCAUAGCCUGGUCCCUGCACAGCCAGGGUGCCUCCUGACCACCCCUCCCA